This 1208-nucleotide ribosomal RNA is filed under the name uncultured stramenopile. RNAcentral's name for it is "SSU rRNA". It matches the Rfam family "Eukaryotic small subunit ribosomal RNA", at positions 577 to 1804 of the family's 1831-position model. The record is from RNAcentral.
CGGUAAUUCCAGCUCCAAUAGCGUAUACUAACGUUGUUGCAGUUAAAAAGCUCGUAGUUGGAUUUCUGAUCUUUGCCAAUAGUAGUGUCGCCGCGUGCGAGGCUCUUUGCGCAGAGGUCAACAUAUGUCACGAGCCAGUGUGAUCUAUUUAUUUAGGUCCACUGGGUAAUGACUCGUUUACUUUGAGAAAAUUAGAGUGUUCGAAGCAGGCAUUUGCCUUGAAUAUGUUAGCAUGGAAUAAUAGCAUAGGACUUCGGUUCUAUUUGUUGGUUGUUCGAGAACUGGAGUAAUGAUUGAUAGGGACGGUUGGGGGCAUCCGUAUUCUCAAGCGAGAGGUGAAAUUCUUGGACCUUGGGAAGACGAACAGCUGCGAAAGCGUUUGCCUAGGACGUUCUCUUUAAUCAAGAACGAAAGUUGGGGGAUCGAAGACGAUCAGAUACCGUCGUAGUCUCAACUAUAAACUAUGCCAGCUAGGGAUCGGUGGGUCUUUGUCACGAGUCCAUCGGCACCUUACGAGAAAUCAAAGCAUUUGGGUUCCGGGGGGAGUAUGGUCGCAAGGCUGAAACUUAAAGGAAUUGACGGAAGGGCACCACCAGGAGUGGAGCCUGUGGCUUAAUUUGACUCAACACGGGAAAACUUACCAGGUCCGGACAUAGUAAGGAUUGACAGAUUGAAAGCUCUUUCUUGAUUCUAUGGGUGGUGGUGCAUGGCCGUUCUUAGUUGGUGGAGUGAUUUGUCUGGUUAAUUCCGUUAACGAACGAGACCCGCGCCUGCUAAAUAGUCGGCCUCACUUCUGUGGGUGUUGUACUUCUUAGAGGGACCAUCCUGGGUAUACCGGAAGGAAGUUGCGGGCAAUAACAGGUCUGUGAUGCCCUUAGAUGUACUGGGCUGCACACGGGCUACACUGCAAGAUACAACAAGCGUCGAUCACGCCUGACUGGAAGGUCCGGCCAAUCUUUGAAUAUCUUGCGUGAUUGGGAUAGACCAUUGCAAUUAUUGGUCUUCAACGAGGAAUUCCUAGUAAACGCGUGUCAACAACACGCAUUGAUUACGUCCCUGCCCUUUGUACACACCGCCCGUCGCUCCUACCGAUUGGAUGUUUCGAUGAGCUGUUUGGAGGACUAAGCUGAAAGCGUCAGCCGGAAGCUACGUCCGAAAUUGGGCAAAUCUGAAUAUCUAGAGGAAGGAGAAGUCGUAAAAGGGUAACC